AAAUUUCCAUUCGAUUUUCAUUUUUCAACCAUUCGCUCUCCGACCUCCUUUGGCCUCCGCAACUCCACCCAUCUACAGCCUACUUCGGCGUCGCCACUACUCAGAGCCUCAGCCUCAACCUCAACCUCCUCCCCGAGGGACAAACUUCUUGCUCCGUAAGAAUUAAAACCGUAAGGUCCUGAUAUAACCUCCAUUGCAGGCUUGCAGCGUUGCACCGUAACCUUUGCGGCUCCGGCGAUUCUUCCAGCGGCAAUUGACAGCCAGCAUAACAGAAGAAGAAGGUUUGAUUUGUCUGAAGGUGAAGCCCCAAUUUCCAAAUUCUAUCGACCUUGAUUUUGUCAUUUUGAAGCUUUUUUGGUUAUUUUUUGUUAUUCUGAUUUGUAUGAAUUGUAAUAAUAUUUGGUUUUUUUUUUUUUAAAUAUAAAUCUAGCAGCUCUUCAAUUGCUUGAACUGGAAGCAGCACGUCACUACCUACACUGUAAGUUGCUUAGGGGGCAUUCCCUUUGCCGUUUUCUAGCAGUUUUCUGUUUUUAGUUUUUGAAAACUCCCAAAACGCGUUUGAUCACUUGUUUCCGAAAACAAGGAAAAAUUUAUAACUGAAAAUGCAAAACGAUCUUUUUUCGUUUUGGACAUUUUCAGUUAAAAAACCAAAAACGCGGAAAACGCUCAAAACAUGCC
This 678-nucleotide long non-coding RNA is filed under the name Olea europaea (common olive). RNAcentral's name for it is "long non-coding RNA (OEUR_LNC002737)". Lineage: Eukaryota; Viridiplantae; Streptophyta; Magnoliopsida; Lamiales; Oleaceae. The record is from RNAcentral.